RNAcentral lists this ribosomal RNA (42 nucleotides) under Pteridomonas danica. RNAcentral describes it as "partial Eukaryotic small subunit ribosomal RNA". Lineage: Eukaryota; Dictyochophyceae; Pedinellales. The record is from RNAcentral.
UCUAUGCUUACUUUGGAACUAUAACACUAACUCGAUCUGAUA